RNAcentral lists this long non-coding RNA (712 nucleotides) under Spirodela polyrhiza (greater duckweed). RNAcentral describes it as "long non-coding RNA (SPOL_LNC000592)". Lineage: Eukaryota; Viridiplantae; Streptophyta; Magnoliopsida; Alismatales; Araceae. The record is from RNAcentral.
UUCCUCCUCCCGACGCCGGACGCCUGCAGCGUCAUCGCAGCCCGACCUCCCGCGGCAGCCGACCGCCGCAGUCGCUCUGCGCCCUUAAGAUCUCCCUCGCGAGCGCCUGGUGGCCCGUCAACAGGAGCCCGUUCAAGACCCGGUUGAAGGUGAGCCUCCGCGGCACGUACCCCUGCUCCACCAUCUCCACCAGCAGGUGCCCCGCGGUCAGCAUGUCCUCCGCCCUCCUCCUGGCGAACAUGGCCCGAAUCAGCACGUUGUACGUGUCCAGGUUCGGCAGGCACCCUCCGCCCUCCUCCCCCGCCGCCAGCCCGCGGAACAGACGAAGGCCCUCGUCGAUCUCCCCGGCCUCGCAUCGAUGGCGGAUCAGGAUGUUGUAGGUCUGCACGCUCGGAUCGCAACCCUCGCGCCUCAUUCUCUCCAGGAAGCCCGCCGCCCCUUCCGCCGCCCCGGCGUGGCAGAGCCCCCUGAUGAUCAGAUUGUAAGUGACGCAGUUUGGAGUGUACCCCUUCCCCACCAUCUCUUCAAACACCGCGAGGGCGUUGCCAACCGUGUCCUUCUUGCAGAUGACUUGGAUGAGGGCGUUAUAGGUCGCCACGGACGGCAGGCACCCCUGCCUGGUCAUUUCCCCGAACAUCUUCCGGGCCCUGCAAAUCUGGCCGGCCAUCCCCAGACCGUGCACCAGUAUCGUGUAGGACACCACAUCAGGUCG